Molecule: Y RNA, 97 nt
Filed under: Cebus imitator (Panamanian white-faced capuchin)
Lineage: Eukaryota; Metazoa; Chordata; Mammalia; Primates; Cebidae
Description: Y RNA (ENSCCAG00000012758.1)
Rfam family: Y RNA
About the family: Y RNAs are components of the Ro ribonucleoprotein particle (Ro RNP), in association with Ro60 and La proteins. The Y RNAs and Ro60 and La proteins are well conserved, but the function of the Ro RNP is not known.
Source: Rfam by way of RNAcentral
GGCUGGUCCGAUGGUAGUGGGUUAUCAGAACUUAUUAACAUUAGUGUCACUAAAGUUGGUAUACAACCUCCCCACUGCUAAAUGUGACUGGCUCUUU